GAUGAACGCUGGCGGCGUGCUUAACACAUGCCAGUCGAACGAGAAAUGGAGACGGAACCCUUCGGGCGGAAGGCUUCAUUUCGAGUGGCGGACGGGUGAGUAACGCGUGGGUAACCUGCCUCAUACAGGGGGAUAACAGUUGGAAACGACUGUUAAUACCGCAUAAGACCACAGCACCGCAUGGUGCGGGGGUAAAAACUCCGGUGGUAUGAGAUGGACCCGCGUUCGAUUAGCCAGUUGGCGGGGUAACGGCCCACCAAAGCGACGAUCGAUAGCCGAUCUGAGAGGAUGACCGGCCACAUUGGGACUGAGACACGGCCCAAACUCCUACGGGAGGCAGCAGUGGGGAAUAUUGCACAAUGGGGGAAACCCUGAUGCAGCGACGCCGCGUGAGUGAAGAAGUACUUCGGUAUGUAAAGCUCUAUCAGCAGGGAAGAAAAUGACGGUACCUGAGUAAGAAGCCCCGGCUAACUACGUG
This 478-nucleotide ribosomal RNA is filed under the name uncultured bacterium. Its description in RNAcentral is "partial 16S ribosomal RNA". It matches the Rfam family "Bacterial small subunit ribosomal RNA", at positions 28 to 507 of the family's 1533-position model. The record is from RNAcentral.